UCCGUAGGUGAACCUGCGGAAGGAUCAUUGAAUCUAUCGAAUCCACACCGGUAACCAUCCACCCCUCUUGCUUAAAACCCAAGGGGCGCCAGUCCCCUGACCCAGGGCUUGCCCUGGUGUUCAGGUCUGGCGGGGUAGGCUCCGGCCUGCCUGGUUAAUUAUAACAAACCUUUAACACACACCAAACCUCAAACCAAACUGAAGCUUUUGGAAGGGAGGCUUUCAGCCCCCAUCCACAAACCAAAGACAACUCUCAACAACGGAUAUCUUGGCUCCCGUAUCGAUGAAGAACGCAGCGAAAUGCGAUACGUAGUGUGAAUUGCAGAAUUCCGUGAACCAUCGAAUCUUUGAACGCAAAUUGCGCCCGCGGCCUCGGCUAAGGGCAUGUCUGCCUCAGCGUCGGUUUACACCCCUCGCUCCCUUCUACUGGGAGCGGAUCUGGCAGUCUCAGUCGCCCUUUAUUGGGCUGACUGGGUCUGCUGAAGUGCAGAGGUUUGAGCAUGGACCCCGUUUGCAGGGCAAUAGCUUGGUAGGUAGGCGUCAGCCUGCAUUAGCCUGCUGUUGCCUGAGGGGACUUUGCUGGGAGCCUAGCAGGAAUUGGGUUUGGCUUAGGCCUUCCCAACUCUCUUUUUCGACCUGAGCUCAGGCAAGAUUACCCGCUGAACUUAAGAAAA
This 674-nucleotide ribosomal RNA is filed under the name Dictyosphaerium sp. 8-6. Its description in RNAcentral is "eukaryotic LSU rRNA". The stretch from base 249 to 402 matches the Rfam family "5.8S ribosomal RNA". The record is from RNAcentral. Lineage: Eukaryota; Viridiplantae; Chlorophyta; Trebouxiophyceae; Chlorellales; Chlorellaceae.